Molecule: non-coding RNA, 659 nt
Organism: Malus domestica (apple)
Lineage: Eukaryota; Viridiplantae; Streptophyta; Magnoliopsida; Rosales; Rosaceae
Source: RefSeq, a predicted model, not a curated record
UUGUCUGGAUCCUUUUCUUUCCUACUUUCUGCAGUGAUUCCUUUUCACUGCUUUUGGUCCUUUUUUUUCCCAUUUCUUUUGCUUAUCUUCGUUUGUAGCCAUCUGCUCUCUCCUCUCUUCGCCUCUGUUGGUCUUAAAGUAAUUAGUUUUGUGGGGAUUCAGGUUUUUAUUUUUCUGGAACUUUUGUCUGCAGCUUUGGAAGACAUUUGUGCUUAAGGUGAGAAACUUUGGGUGCUUGCUUUUGGGUUUUGUUGUAGAAUUAAUUAUUUUUUUUUAAGACGUACCUUCGUGGGAAUUCAUUUGUUCUUCUUUUUUUCUUGCAUCUGAAAAAUGUCACAUGAUGUGAGUUUAUAAUUAAAUAUGAAUAUCAAAAUGGGUUUUCUGUGCAAAUUUUCUUUUUCUGAUUUUAUAGAACCGAAGAGGAUGUUAACAAUAUUUUACAUUGUUUUAGUACCCAGGUUUACAUCAUGAGCUGAAGAUCCAAGAUCAUUUUGGCAGAGACUUAGAUAUUGAAAACACUAAUUUUGUUCUAUAUUUUGUACUUUAAUGUCCAACUAUUUACAUGUUUUACACACUUAUAACACCCGCAGCAACGCGCGGGCACUAUGACUAGUAAGCAUCUAUAAUUCCGGUAACAAAAAUGCUAUUUUUAUCAUCUA